RNAcentral lists this long non-coding RNA (1395 nucleotides) under Gadus morhua (Atlantic cod). RNAcentral's name for it is "lncRNA (ENSGMOG00000033791.1)". Lineage: Eukaryota; Metazoa; Chordata; Actinopteri; Gadiformes; Gadidae. The record is from RNAcentral.
AAACGCUCCUAAAUGCUCUCUAAAUGCUUAACUCAACUGCAUUCUCACAGGUUUCGUUGCUUAAAAGGGAGUUAAAAAAAAAAAAAAUGCUAUAUCUACAGUUUGUUUCACUACGGAGGGGAAAGCAUACAUUUCGGUAAUGCGUCACUUCGUGCAUAGAUUAGUUCCCCGGAAGUUGGUCCACUGCCGUACCCGCCGGCGUUCUCAGCAAAAUUGGAUUUUGGAAUCAGGUUAAGAGAAACCCAAACGUUUCGUUGGCGGCGAGAUAUCCAAUAUUCUGGUCCCAAAAUAUCCUAGAAGAGCAUGGACUGUGAAGAACUUGGCCGCCAGGCGGAGCCGGUGCAGAAUAUCUCCGUCUGAGAGCGAGUCUGCGCGCUCAACGGGGGACGUGUGGAGCAUCCAGCCGCCAGACUUCUCUCCCAAACUCUACACGUCCCUCUCAGAUCCCGGGAGGGACAGAAGAUUGUCCCGACGUUCUCAAGCCCGGUCCUCCCUCGACUCAGGCCGUACCCGUGGACGAGAUGUCUCCACGGUUUUGCACGUGAAGCGCGUUGUAGCGGAGGCGUUAGGGGGUGAGACCCACGGCCGGAGGGAGAACAGGAGGUUCAUCACGUCCUACAAACCGCCGGAUCCUCUUGAAGAGGAGCUGAUGUUUGUCAAACUGGGGAAGUUCCCGCCUUCAGGUCCUUACAGGAACCCCCGACCGCACGACUUCCGACCGCAGGACGACGACCUUCCAAACAUGGCCGCUGUGACCAAGAAGGACCCCGGCGACCUGGAGUUUAAACUGAACCACCGCGACAUCUUGAGGACUACCGGGUCCGAGUCCGACCGCACCUCUGGAGACCAGAUGAAGACCGUGCUGAAGAUGAACACCUACAGGGCAGUUGAACCAACAUGGGACCUGCGUCUUCUACUGCCCAGGACACAAUGGCCGCCCAGAUCAGCCUCCUUUACGAGACACCGACGGAGCCGAUCUGUGUACAGCGCCUUCAUGGAGCGAGUGGAGGAGAAGCUGUCGAGGUCCUGGACUCACAACCCGUAGAGACCACCCUGGCUAGCACCACUCUGGGCUUCCGAUGUAUCGACUCUGUAUGUUCUGUGACUGCAUUAACAGGCGUUUCUGUUUAGUUACCUGUGUCUGUAUGAACCCACAAACGGGCGGCAUGUGACUCGGGAGGUAGAGCGGGUCGGCUGGUAACCGGAAGGUUGCCAGUUCGAUUCCCGGCUCCGCCUAGCUGUGUGUCGAGGUGUCCCUGAGCGAGAAACCUCACCUGGACUGCAAUAUUGUAAGGCGCUUUGUGUGGCCACUGGUUAGAAAAGCGCUGUAUGAAUGCAGUUGAUUUGCCAUUAAGAAAUAAAAGGAAGCCAAUUACAGUUGACUGAAAUAAAAAC